RNAcentral lists this unclassified non-coding RNA (422 nucleotides) under Hevea brasiliensis (rubber tree). The record is from RNAcentral. Lineage: Eukaryota; Viridiplantae; Streptophyta; Magnoliopsida; Malpighiales; Euphorbiaceae.
UUUUUUUUUUUUUUUUUUUGAAGAAUGAAAGAUACAUAACUUUAGUUAUGAUUCCACAUUGCUGAUCCAAUAUGUGCAUGCUGUUUUCUUCUAACAAUUGGACAUGCAUAUAAAAAUGUAUUUGGACUUGAUUGGGAUGGCGUUAGAGAAAUGGAAGGGAGUCGAAAUAAGGGGGGUGUUGUGGAGAUUGUUAGCUUACUUGCAGGGAGUCAAACUGGGUUUUCCUUUUGGGGCCGCUUGUGUUGAAUAAUUUUGAAGAGUUAAUGUGAAUGAUAAAGGAAUUGUUUUGAGUUAUCCAGGGAAAAAAAAAAAUACUGCCUUGCCUUAAAGAGGUGGUGACUGUUUCUAUUUGGCUUGAUUCUUAGAAAUUAUUCAGACAUUCAUUAUUUCCUUUGAACAUCUCUCUCUCUCCCUCUCUCUCU